ACAGCUGUACAAUACAUAGAAAAAUAACAUACAGCCCCAGGCAGUUUUCAGCACGAUUUUUACACAAACACAUACGUAUAUAUAGCGGGUAAUUUUUGACCUCCACAAAAACAUAGGCGUGGCAUGCAGUGCAGGCAAUGAAGUUGCAAUGAAAUUUUUUACCACAAAAUAAUCAUUGUUUCGAGUUGAACGAAUUUUGUACCCCACAAAAAUUUGUUAGAGAUACACUUUUCCUACACUUUUCCUAUAUUUGGCCUCUUGUCAAGUAGAGUAUAGUAUCACACUUUUUUCACUCAUUCUUUGUCGUCACGACUAGUGUGUAAAUUGGUUGUUUUGUUGUUAGUAUCAUAUAGCGGGAUAUGCAUGAGUGUGUUAUUUUAAUUUUCAUACUGUAGGAUCAUCUGCUCAACCAGUGAGUACAGCUCUUCAACAGCUGAUGGACACAUGUCCGCUCACUACUGCCCAAGUCAACAGGGAAAUCCAGCAAGAAGACGUAUCAUAUUUGGCUCCCUGUUUCGAUAAUGUGGAGCUCUAUGUCGAUGCUAUGAAAUUAACCCCUGGCGAGCAAAGUAAUGUCCAGUUGAAAAAAAAUGAGAGUAACCACCUAGCUAUGAUUGAGUGUUUGAAAAUCUGGAGAGGAAAACAGCGCUCACAAGCAACAUUCAGGGCCCUUCUGGAGAUGUUAGUAAAACUGAGAAAAGGGGAGAUUGCUGACCUAGUCUGCCAGUACUUGAAAGAGCUGUGAGAAGGUGCACGUAAUACAGCACUCCAUAUCGACUGUAGAUAUAUCAGAACAGAACUCUUAGAUUAGCUUUAUCCCUAAUGUGUGGUUAUUAUUGUGUACGUGUGUUUUGUACAUUGCGUGUUGAAAAUGAAUUAUAAAAACUGUUCGAUAUCCCAUAA
Long non-coding RNA from Halichondria panicea, 903 nucleotides. RefSeq lists it as uncharacterized. NCBI's taxonomy places the organism in Eukaryota, Metazoa, Porifera, Demospongiae, Suberitida, Halichondriidae. The transcript is spliced from 2 exons. The record is from RefSeq and is a predicted model, not a curated record.